AUGACCAUGAGAGUUGCCUACAUCUUCACCACAUCCAUCUCAUUCCUUCUCUUGCUUAUCUCCGUUGCGCUUGCAAAGGAUCAUGGCAUCAGCUACCUUGGGCCAGGUUCCUCCAUCUCCACCAACAGCAGCAGCAACAGCACAACCACCACCAUCCUUUUAUCGCCCAGCGGUGCCUUCGCCUGUGGGUUCUAUAGGGUGGCCACCAACGCUUUCACCUUCUCCAUCUGGUUCACCGGCUCAUCAGGGAAGACCGUCGCUUGGACGGCUAACCGCGAUGUGCCCGUGAACGGUAGGGGAUCCAGGCUCUCCUUCCAAGAGCACGGGGGCUUGGCCCUGCUUGACUACGAUGGCACGGCCGUCUGGAGCACCAACAUGACCGCCGCUCGUGCAAGCCGAGCAGAGCUUCUCGACAGCGGCAACCUUGUCGUCGUGGAUCAGGACCAUCGGCAACUUUGGAAGAGCUUCGACUCAGCGACCGACACGCUUCUGCCAUCCCAGCCCAUGACCCGGUACGUACAGCUGGUAUCUGCAUCUGCCAGGGGUCUGCUCUACACAGGGUUCUAUACGUUGUACUUUGACAGUGACAAUCAGCUAAAACUCAUCUACGAUGGCCCCGAGAUUAGUAGCAUAUAUUGGCCCAACCCUGCCAACAAACUGUGGGUAAAUCAGAGGAGCGCUUACAACCGUAGUCGUUAUGCUGUUCUUCAACAGACAGGCCAGUUUUUCUCGAGUGACAACUCGUCAUUUGAUGCUUCUGAUCUUGGUGAAAAGGUCAUGAGGAGGUUGACUCUGGAUUACGAUGGCAACCUUAGGCUGUAUAGCCUAAACGCAACAAGCGGCGAUUGGUCAGUCUCUUGGAUGGCACUCCGCCGAGUCUGCGAUGUACAUGGACUAUGUGGCAAAAACAGCCUAUGCAAAUACAUACCAAAGCUCGAGUGCUCUUGCCUCGAAGGCUUCGAGGUGGUUGAUGCAAGCAACUGGAGCAAAGGGUGCAGGCGCAAGGCAAACAUAACAGCCAGCUGGGACGACCGGAGAAGACAUGAGGCAAACAACAUGGCCACUUUUUCGUUCAGUAAGCUUGCACAAACUGACUUUUACCAGCAUGACUUGGAGUACGCAGACUCGGUGCCAUUCUUGCAGUGCAAAGAGGCAUGCUCGGACAAUGUUGAUUGCCAAGCUUUUUCGUACCGACGAGGAGAAGGCAAAUGUUAUCCAAAGGUCUCUCUUCUGAAUGGCAAGAACUUCCCAGACCCUUACAAUGACAUUUAUCUGAAAGUUCCCAAGGUAGUGAUGUCUACGCCAGAAUUGGCUUCUACAGUAACCCACGAAUGCAAAAUUCAUGAAAAAGAAGCAGACAUUUCAUCGCGGAUGUUCAAGGGUGCCAUUUCCAAGUUCAAGGUUGGCUACUUCCUUUCUUCAGCAUUAACGCUGCUUUUCAUCGAAGUAGCUUUAAUCAUCGCUGGUUGUUUGGUAGUUUACAAAUGGAAGAUAGGACCAGAGGUUACAGAUGAAGGUUACACGAUAAUAUCCAGCCAGUUCCGAAUAUUUAGUCACAGUGAGUUACUGAAAGCAACCAAUUGCUUCCAGGAAGAGCUAGGAAGUGGUGGGUCAGGAGCAGUUUACAAAGGAGUCCUUGAUGAUGAAAGGACGGUUGCAGUGAAGAAGCUAAACGAUGUGAUCCAUGGAGAGCAGGAGUUCAGGUCUGAGCUAAGUGUCAUAGGCAGAAUUUAUCAUAUGAAUCUGGUCAGAAUUUGGGGGUUUUCUGUCGAGAAGACGUGCAAGCUCUUGGUUUCUGAGUUCAUCGAGAAUGGUUCUUUAGACAGAGCUCUGUUUGAUUACCAAAGAAUAAUCCCUGUGCUCCAAUGGAACCAAAGGUAUAAUAUUGCACUUGGGGUGGCAAAAGGACUGGCCUAUCUCCACCAUGAGUGCCUUGAAUGGAUAGUGCAUUGUGAUGUCAAACCAGAGAACAUAUUGUUAGAUAAAGACUUUGAGCCCAAGAUUGCAGAUUUUGGACUGGUUAAGCUACAAAAGCGAGGAUCAAGAGCACUGAUGUUGUCAAGGGUACAUGGGACCAGAGGAUAUAUUGCACCGGAAUGGGCUCUAAACCUUCCAAUCACUGGCAAGGCCGAUGUUUACAGCUAUGGAGUAGUUCUUCUUGAGUUAGUGAAGGGGAUUCGGGUUUCUAGUUGGAUGGUCGACGCUGAGGAGGAGGUGGAAAUGGCUGUUAGAUGCUCUACUGAAAUUCUUAAAGAGAAACUAGCAGGUGAAGACCAGUCAUGGCUUCUGGAGUUUGUCGACCACAGACUGGAUGGAGAAUUCAACCAUUCAGAAGCGAUGGUAAUGCUUAAGAUAGCAGUAUCAUGUGUGGAAGAAGAGAGGAGCAGAAGACCGAGCAUGAGCCAUGUGGUUGAAACAAUGCUUUCACUUGUGGAAUAA
RNAcentral lists this ribosomal RNA (2439 nucleotides) under Triticum aestivum (bread wheat). RNAcentral's name for it is "partial small subunit ribosomal RNA". The record is from RNAcentral. Lineage: Eukaryota; Viridiplantae; Streptophyta; Magnoliopsida; Poales; Poaceae.